This 492-nucleotide ribosomal RNA is filed under the name uncultured bacterium. RNAcentral describes it as "partial 16S ribosomal RNA". It matches the Rfam family "Bacterial small subunit ribosomal RNA", at positions 29 to 507 of the family's 1533-position model. The record is from RNAcentral.
AGUGAACGCUGGCGGUAGGCCUAACACAUGCAAGUCGAACGGCAGCACAGUAAGAGCUUGCUCUUACGGGUGGCGAGUGGCGGACGGGUGAGGAAUACAUCGGAAUCUACUUUUUCGUGGGGGAUAACGUAGGGAAACUUACGCUAAUACCGCAUACGACCUACGGGUGAAAGCAGGGGAUCUUCGGACCUUGCGCGAUUGAAUGAGCCGAUGUCGGUUUAGCUAGUUGGCGGGGUAAAGGCCCACCAAGGCGACGAUGCGUAGCUGGUCUGAGAGGAUGAUCAGCCACACUGGAACUGAGACACGGUCCAGACUCCUACGGGAGGCAGCAGUGGGGAAUAUUGGACAAUGGGCGAAAGCCUGAUCCAGCCAUGCCGCGUGAGUGAAGAAGGCCUUCGGAUUGUAAAGCCCUUUUGUUGGGAAAGAAAAGCAGCAGGUUAAUACCCCGCUGUUCUGACGGUACCCAAAGAAUAAGCACCGGCUAACUUCGUG